This 29-nucleotide non-coding RNA is filed under the name Mus musculus (house mouse). The record is from RNAcentral. Lineage: Eukaryota; Metazoa; Chordata; Mammalia; Rodentia; Muridae.
UCCUGUGCCGACCACUGGGGUUGCUCUUG